Molecule: long non-coding RNA, 30299 nt
Filed under: Lactuca sativa (garden lettuce)
Lineage: Eukaryota; Viridiplantae; Streptophyta; Magnoliopsida; Asterales; Asteraceae
Description: long non-coding RNA (LSAT_LNC002856)
Source: RNAcentral
AAAGCGCUGUUGCCUUAGCCAAGGAACCAAGGGAUCACAGGAGAUCCAGACACAUCGACAGAAAAUACCAUUUUAUCAGACAUCGAAUAGAAGAAGGACUCCUCGUGGCAAAGAGGGUAUCAUCGGAUGAGAAUCCAGCAGAUCCCCUCACGAAAGGACUGACUCGGGUUAAGCAUCUCCAGCAUUCUCGGAGCAUAGGGCUUAAGGAUGAUAUUUGAUUUAGUAGUUAGAUAACCCUGAAAAAUGUAAAGUGUAAUUGGCAUUAGAUGAUGAAUAAAAAGUGUUUUAUUUAUUAGUAAAGUGUUGCUAUCUCUUGUCGAUCGUUUACUAUAUUUCUUUUGCAUGUUUUGACUUCCAGAAUAAUGAUGGUUGGUAUAUCAUAUUAUUCAAACCUCCACAGUCGGUCAUAUGUCGGAAGUAGGUAUGAAUCAAGACUGUCAUGAUUGGUUGCAGAGGUCUAAGGUGUUGGACAUGGCUACAACAAUCAUGAGUGCUCCUAAGUUCUGAGCUUUGGACUCAACCCACGCUCACCGGAAUCAAUUCAUGGAAUUUAUCUCGAGUGAUCGUGAGACGGUAACAUCAUAUAAGUCUUCAAACCUAGAGAUAUUAUUUGUUAGUUACGAGUUGGUUAUGCAUUGAUUGUACGAAAAUGCAUUGGAAACUGGAUGUUAUAAAAUGUGCUUUUAUGUAUAAUUCAAUGAGUGGUAGAACAAACAUAUGAGUCGAAGUUUAUCUGUUCCUUCUUGGAUUAGAAGCUGAUAUCUGGGCCCCUCGAUGAUUUUGUUUUGACCUAUGUACCGGGCCCGGUCAGAACUAAGUUGAUGUGUUCAAUUAAGUUCUUUGUCAAACAAAUCGGAAAUCGGGAAACAAACUGCUGGACAAUAAGUAAGACAUUGUUCCAUGUAUUUGUCCGGCUGAUAUCUAGAACAGAGGAUUAUAUGAUCACUUAUCUUAAAUGGCGUAUCAUCAUCUUCUCAGUUCCGAGAGACCUUGAAAGAGCUACGAUUGCCGGUCGGUUCCUGAAGUACUAGAGAUAUAGUUAUUAGACUUAUCCAAGUGGGAGACUGUUGGAUAAGGUGUCUAAGUCCAUAACUAUUUCGGGCUUGUACUUGACCCGACCCGGCAUGGUCCAUUUGGGUUGCAUGGCACCAUGCAAUUGGAUAGACUAAAUGAGAGAAAUAACACUUGGAGAUUAUUAAUAUAUUAUAAGUUCUAAUAUAUUAAUAAUAUUAUUUGAUUAGUUUGAUCAAGAAUUAAUUUAGAAUUAAUUAAGUGAUCAAAAGAUAACUAAUUAAAUAUAUGGGUGGAUUAUGUAAAUCAUCCAUAUCUUGUAUAGUGGGCUAAGAGGCUCCAUGGAUUAUCAAGUUGGGUUCCACCCAUAGGAUGCUCCAUGGGAGUUCCAAACCCAUGGGUCAUGGAAAUGAAGAGUCAUGACACAUUAGGGUUUACAUGGUGUAACCCUAGAUGUGUCAACACUAUAUAAGAGUCUCAUACUCCACCAAGAUCAGCUACACAUAUGAAACAAGAGAGCUAGGCCGAUUUCAAGAAGUGUGUUUUCUCUCAAAAGUCUUUCCAAGAGCAUUUGGUGUUGUGUGAAGCAUUUGAGGCAUCACACUUGGGGUGCUACGCUCACAAGGUUUCAGGGAACAUAAGCAACAACAAGGUAAGUUAUUCUAUCUUUCAUUCAAGUUAAAAAUUGUUCCCCAUGUAUGCUAGAUAGGAAUAUAACCUUGGAACUCAACUUUGCAUGAUAAUUAGACAAACAUAGAUCCAAGGUUAUUAGGGUUGCAUGUACACUUAGGAAGUGUUAGAAUGCUCAAAACCCAUUAAAUUCAUCCUCUAACUGCAUUCUGAUAGCUAAGAAGAGGAGUUAUGAAUUGUUGAAGUGGUUAAAUCAAGAAGAUGAUUCAUACUUCGUUCCAAAAACAAUUCUUAGAGUUAUACUCCAAGAUUGUAACUUGAGUGACACAUCUUAAAGUAGGUUUAUUAACACUAGUCAAAUGUAAGAGUAAAAGUUUUCUACUCUUGUACAAUUGAAAUUGGUAAGUUGUGAUGUUUUGGAAAAAACAAAGACCAACUAAGGCCAAUUGUGUGAAGUGUUUUUCUUGAUUAGAAUCCGCUCUAUCUCUUGGAUGUUUGACAAGGGAGUCUUACAUGUCAAGAGGACAGUGGGAGUCUUAAAGGUCUUGAAAGUCUCAAGAACUAAUCAAGAAUAAAACCUGAAGUUCUUUACUAGCACACGACUUGAGGUUUAAACCUACCAUGUUGACAUAUUAUGUGCCCAUUCCAGUUAAAGUUGGCUUUGCAUAUGAGUUCUUAGAGUUCUCAAUUGGUUGCAUAACAACUUAGAAGCAAUGGUAGGCCCUUGAGCUGCCAGGUGGCAAGAAAUUAAGAUUGAGUUCAGUCCAUAAGAAUUUUGAUUUAUCACUAACCUUGUCUUGUGAUUAUGGUUUUGACAAUUCACAUGGAUAAGAGCACAUACACCAUUACAUCUAAGUGUCAUAAGGUUUCUCUCUGAUUCAUGAAAAUUAUGGUGAGGAAACACUUUCACUAAGUAGAUUUUAACUAGAUACCAAUUGUGAUAUUUGCAUUCUCUAAGUCGUUAGUGGAGCGUGUGUGGUUAACCAAUACACUAACAUGGACUUGUGAGAAGUGGCAAAGGUCUAAACAAUUGAGACUAUAAUUACGACGUCCCUUUUCAUAGCUCUUAAAUUGUUUAGACACACUUAUGAGCUAUCUAAGAUAAGGUGUAUGAUAUUGAUAAAGUUUUAUCAAAGCAAUCUAGUAUCAGAAAUCUGAACUUUGGUAAGAAAGUCAAUAAAGUAUUGUUUUCCUAGAAGUCAAGCUGAUUUCUGAGUACAUGUCAAAGCUAGUGGGAGCAUAAGUGUUAUGCUAAUAAUCAUCAUGUUAGAGGGAGCAUGCUAAUUAUGAUAAAGGUUGCGAGUUAGAAAUGUUAAUUAUAGAAAACAAAAGAUUUCAAUUGGGAAAAGUUGGUUUGCUAUAAUUAAGGGAGAGGAAAUCGUACUUCAUCUCAAAUCUAUAAGCUUAGAUCGUGAGAUUUUAAUCAAAUUUAGUCAAGAAUACAUAUGAAUUUCAUAAGGAAAUUCUACAUAUGGGUCUAUUAUUUGUGUUCUAAAAUUCGAUUAUGAUUACGACAUCCCUUUUCAUAAUCUGAAUUAUGAGAACUUGGAAUAUUGAAAUGGAAAUAUUAUAGCAAAAGACUACUUUAGUCUUUAUGUGAGACAUCAUGAAUCGUGUCCCAUAUGCUUCGAAUAUAGGAUCGAUUACAUGUGCUAUGUUCAUCCUUUCUAAAAUUUUCCAAGUUCCUGGGGCAAUAAGAAGGGAAAAGGUCUAGAACUAGAUAUGACUAAAAUGAUUAAGCAAUUGCCAAGGACAAUCUAAGGUUUACCAAAGAUUGGUUGCUCAGGGACAGUUGGAAGUAUAGUGUUAUGUUUGGAAGGACCAUAUUGACAUAUUCUGCAAAGAGGCAACUCUUGUUCAAAAGUGAUAGUCAAAAUGGGAAUAUGGGAAGGUGGAAGUUAUUUGUGUAGGAUUAGGAAACUUAGUGCAAGAAGAAUGUUCAAAGGCAAUGAACUUUGAAUAUGAGACUUCAUUUCCAUGGAUUUGAUCUCCAUUGGAAUACUCUUUAAUGUUCAUUGACAAGUCUUUGUGACUUUGUGCAUAAUCGUUACAAGAGGACCAACGCAUAUAAACUUAAAAUCUAACAAAUUUCGAUAAAUAAUAAGGAUUUGGAAUGCUUAUAUUUACAAUAAGGAUUUGGGAGUGUGAAAUUAGAAUCAUCGUUCGAUUGGUUUAUUUCACAAUGUAAAGAUCAUAUACAAACAUAGUGUGCAUACUUGGUGUAUGGCAUGUCUAGUGUUUAGAAAACAUAGUGUACAUUCUCGGAGCAUGGGACAACUAGUGUUUUAAUUCAAGAAUAAAGUUGAUAGCUGAAACAGUAUGCAAUGAAUAAUGUGUAAUCAUAUGGUGAUAAAUAAAAGGUGUUUUAUUUAUGUUCAUUGAUUUUGGUACCAUAUUAGAUUCAAUUAUUCUUUGUUUCAUUUUGCAUGUUUUGACUUCCAGAAUAAACUACGUUAUUCUUCCGGAAUGACUAAGUUAUUCAAACCAUCCACAGUUGGUCAUAUGUUGGAAGUAGAUAUGAAUCAAGACUGUCAUGGGUUGGCUUGUAGACGUCCAAUUUGGUGGACAAAGUUGUGCUACAACACUCAUGAGUGCUCAUAAGUUCUGAGUAUUAGAUUCAACCCGCACUCAUUGGAAUCACUUCAUGGAUUUUAUCACAAGUGAUCAUGAGACGAUAAUAUCUUAUAUUCUACAAACCUAGAGAUAUGAGUUGUUAGUAUGAGUUGGUUGUACAUUGAUUGCAUGAAAACGCAUUCAGUAACUCGAUGUUAUAAAACGUGCCUUUGUGUAUGAUUCAACAAGUAUUAGAACAAGCCAUAUGAGUCGAAGUUUAUCCAUUCCUUUUACCUUCGGGAUAAAAGCGAUAUAUGUGGUCCCCUCGAUGAUUUAAUGAUGAUACAUGUGAGUGCUUGGCCAAGCCACGACUGAUUAGAUAUGUUCAAUCAGUUAGUCAUCAUAAAUCAGAAAUUGGGAAACAACAAAUGGACAAAGAGAAUGAUUUAUUAUCCAUGUAUCAGUCCAUAUGAUAUCUAGAAUGAAGGAAUAUAUGAUACCUUAUCUAAUGGACAAGUUAUUGACAAAGGUCAGAGUUCAUCGACAAGGUCAGAGUUCGACAGAAGCUUUUGAGAGCUACAAUUGCCAGUCGGUUCUUGAAGUCAUAUGUAAUAAUAGUUUUAGACUUAUCCAAGUGGGAGACUGUUGGAUUAAUGUCUAAGUCCAUAACUAUAAUUGGUAAGACUUGACCCGACCCGGCAUGGUCCAUUUGGGUUGCAUGGCAUCAUGCAUUUGGAUAGACUUUAAUGAGAGAAAUAACACACUUAUGGUUAUUAAUAUAUUAUAAGUUCUAGUAUAUUAAUAAUAAGAAUAAUAAGAUUAUUUAAUUAGUAUNUCAAAAGAAGACUAAUUAAAUCAUCCAUACUUAUAUAGUGGGCUAAUGUUCCAUGGAUUGUCAAGUUGGGCUAAACCCCAUAAGAUGCUCCAUGGUGUAUUUGUACCCAUGGAUCAUGGAAAUGAAAGGCCAUGACAAUUAGGGUUUACAUGGUGUAACCCUAACUAUAUAAUGAUCUUAUUCUUGGAGAAAAUCGGCCACUAUGUGUGAGGAAAAAGGGCUAGCCGAUUUCAUGAAGUGUGUAUGUUCUCUCAAGUAAUUCCAUGUGCAUUUGAUGUUGUGUGAACCAUUUAAGGUGUCACACUUGGGGCACUAGGCGCUCAAGCUUCAUGAAGAUAUUCUACAUCAAAGAGGUAUGUAAUUCUAACUUCAGAUAUCCAUAUGAAUCAAUGUUAUUUUGCUAGUUAGGAUGAAUACCUUGGAAAGUUCAUAUUUGCAUGUAUAUUAGAGAAAACAUAGAUCCAAGGUAUUUAGGGUUGCAUGUACACUUAGGAAUGUUAGAAUGCUAAAAACCCAACAGUCAUUUGUCCAAAGGUGUGUUGUGAUUCCAUUUGAGGCAUUCAUACUAUUGCUUCUAAGUUCUUAAAAGCCAAAAGUACAAACUACAUCAAAGAGGUAAUUUCAUAACUCAUUUCUAUGAUGUUUAUGUUGUUUGUAUCCUAGUCGUAGGCUUAAUUCUUUGGAAACAAUAUUGCAUGUAUAAUUAGAGAAAGCAUAGAUCCAAAGCAUCUAGGGUUGCAUGUACACAAUAGGAGUGUUAGAAUGUUCAAAACCCUUCAGUAUAUACAUAUAGAUCGAUUAAAUUAAAAUAUAUGGUAGGAAAGGUAUGCAGUAGAUAAUUUACAUUAUUUUUGUAUAAUAACAAAAUUAAUUAUUAGAUAAUACAAAAAUAAAAUUUUUCACGAAAAAAUAAGCUGAAAAAAUGUAUCGAUGAUUCAUUUUUGCUAUGAUUCAUUAAAGUUAUCCAAAACAUGAAUCAAAACACUAUUCAGUAAGAAAGUUAUUCAUCAAUGUCUUUUCUUGUGAGUUUUUCAAAUAUUUUAUUUAUUUUAUUAGAAUAAUGAUUAAUUACAACAUAAUAUAUCACUAGUGAAGAAUUAUUAAGUCAUGUAAAUCCUCUUUUGACUUGAAGUAAUUUUUUCCUUUAGCAAAAAACAUAUAGGAUUAUAUCUUAUAAUGACUUGAUGUGUGUGNNNNNNNNNNNNNNNNNNNNNNNNNNNNNNNNNNNNNNNNNNNNNNNNNNNNNNNNNNNNNNNNNNNNNNNNNNNNNNNNNNNNNNNNNNNNNNNNNNNNNNNNNNNNNNNNNNNNNNNNNNNNNNNNNNNNNNNNNNNNNNNNNNNNNNNNNNNNNNNNNNNNNNNNNNNNNNNNNNNUGUGUGUGUGUGUGUGUGUAUGUAUUUGUCUUGGAUAUUUGUUUAUAAAAAUAUAAUCAUGGCUAGAGGUUAGGGAUAUGGUCUUAAACUGUUAAAUAUAAUAAAGAAGCAUGACAUUAAAUUUUCAUUCUUCUCAGUUUAGCUAUCCGAAUUCAUGACUUUAAUCAUCCUUUAUUAUUUCUCUCUCAAAUGGUUAAGGAUAAAAACUAAGAAGAGAGAUAGAUACUUUAUUUCUAUUUAAGUCAAAUUUGAUCUUCGUCUUAAACAUGUUAGUGUUUCUACUAAGGUGGGAACCUACUCUACAUUCUUCAUCAACUUCCAACUACCCAAGAGGAACCAAAGUCUUCAAAUGUUGUAAUCUUUUCUACAUAUGGUUGUUUUAAUCAUUUCAUGUUUGCAAAAUGAUCACUGGUGGGUUAAAAUAGUGUUAAGUUUGUUUACAAUUCUAAAGUUUCUAUAGUCAUUUCUAGUGUUUUUAGAAAUCGAUUUUUCAAUAAAUCCCAACAAUCGGUAUCAGAGCCAAUUUUCCAAACUUGCUUAGAUUUUUAUAUUGUUUAGUAUACUCUUUGUUGUAGGAAAUCACGGAUGAUUCUUUAUAAGAAAAUUCCAUACCUAUUUUCCAUGACUAAUUGACAAUGUUUAUAAUUGUUAUUUUUACAAUUACAAGUUUACAAAUAUUUUUAUGGUCAUAAAAGUUGUUUUAGAAACAUGAAAUGAUGNNNNNNNNNNNNNNNNNNNNNNNNNNNNNNNNNNNNNNNNNNNNNNNNNNNNNNNNNNNNNNNNNNNNNNNNNNNNNNNNNNNNNNNNNNNNNNNNNNNNNNNNNNNNNNNNNNNNNNNNNNNNNNNNNNNNNNNNNNNNNNNNNNNNNNNNNNNNNNNNNNNNNNNNNNNUCUUCCACCGAGCUGAUAUACCGAGCCAAUCUGCCGAGCCGAGCCGCAAGUUCCGAGCCGUAUACUUCUGGAAACCCUAGCCGUAAACGGGAAUCCGCCGCCGGCCGUGAACUGUUUCCGGCCGUAAGCUCCGGCCGAGAACCCUUCAAGAUUACGUGAAAAUUCGACAUUGAAGCUCCAAAACUCAAUCAAAAACCCUUUUUUUAUGAAAAACACAAAGAACAAACCCCCUUUAUUUUUGCGAGAUCUAUCCAAAAACGCAAAAAUAUUACGAAAAUAAGACCAAAUAAUGCUCCAAAUAGAGUUUACGGCCCAAGAACUCGGAGUUUACGGCCGUAAGCUUGGACCGUAAACACCAAUUAUUCAGAUUCCAGAUGAAACAAUAAUCCUUUUGACUGAUACAACUUGGCUCUGAUACCAAUUGUAAGUCCCUAAUCUGCCCAUGUAUCAGUCAGAUCUGUUUAAUGGUGCGGAAUCCCAAUCAAACGGAUGAUAUCAGAUAAAAUAAGAAGAGAAGGAGAAGAAGAGUUGAUAUGAAUCUUGUAUGUAUUGUUAUGAAUUAUAAUCCGAAUACAAAAGAUUCAAACACACAUAAAGCUCCCGUUUCUCUCCUCUCUGGCCGUAAAUUCCUUCGUGUUCAUCAAUCUCUACUCCUCACCCUAACACCUCUAUUUAUACAUGUUGGAUAUGGGCCGGAAACAAAUGGGUCGUAAAUGAGUUUACGGCCGUAAACUCUGCCGUAAACUAGACCAUCAAUUAAUAUAAUAUUACAUAAAAAUAAUUGCCUAGAAAAGUAAAGUAUAAACCAUAUUUUGACCUAACAAAAACAAAAAGUAGGAUGCCAUAAUUCACAAUGUCAUUUAAAGUGCAAUACUAUAAUAAAAAACAAAUAGGAAAAAUGAAAUAUAUAUGAAAAAGUAUGCUAUAAUUGACAAUGUCAUUUAAAAUACAAUAUUAAAAUAGAAAACAACAUAAGAAAAAUCUUGUAAAUAAAAAUUUUUGAAAAAGUAAAAUGUAAUAAUAGAAAAGAUGUUAUAUAUAUAUAUAUAUAUAUAUAUAUAUAUAUAUAUAUAUAUAUAUAUAUAUAUGUAUAUAUAUAUAUGUGUGUGUGUGUGUGUGUGUGUUUGUGUGUAUGUGAGUGUAUUUGUGUUUGUCUAUGAUCUGUAUAUCUUAGCCAUUGACCAUUUAUGAUGUAAUUUGUAUUGAAUUGUUAAAAUGAUUGUAAUACUAAUUUAUUCAUAUGGUAUGUAAGAAUUAAAUAGGUCGUUUUUAUUUUUUAUAUUAUUGUAAUUAAUAGAUUAGUUAAAAUUUUCAAUUCUUAUAAAAAUGUAACAAGAAGUGUAUUUGUGUUUGUCUAUGAUCUGUAUAUCUUAGCCAUUGACCAUUUAUGAUGUAAUUUGUAUUGAAUUGUUAAAAUGAUUGUAAUACUAAUUUAUUCAUAUGGUAUGUAAGAAUUAAAUAGGUCGUUUUUAUUUUUUAUAUUAUUGUAAUUAAUAGAUUAGUUAAAAUUUUCAAUUCUUAUAAAAAUGUAACAAGAAUAAAGAUGCGGUCAUUUUGAAUAUCAAAAGUUUAUGCAAUUAGUUUUAUCAAAGUUCACACGUAGUUUAGUUUUAAGAAAAAUUUUCUUUUAUAUAAUAUGUGGCAAAUUAUGACUUUAUAAUAAAUACUUUUUUUUAUAAAACAUUAAUUACGGAAAAUUUUGAAGAUUAAUUUUUAUUAGUUUAAAAUUGAGAUUUUAGAGACUUAUAAAAUUGAAGCUUUAUUACAAGUUUAUAAUUGCUUCGUUAGCGCUCAAACUACAAUACUUAAUAUAAGAUAUUAGAAUUAAAAUUUGAUUGCCUUGAUUAUAUAAUAUAUAAAGUUGGAUUACAUAAAAGAAGCAUUUCAAUAAAAUAUGAUUGUUCUAAAAAUAUCACUUGUCUUUUUGGAUGCAUGAAAUAACCAUGACAUCAUAUGUUUUUUAAACCGGGAUUAUAAAAGCAUACAAGACCCCUUAUUAAACACAAAUUUAUGUCCUCCGCUUUGGAUACCCUCGCGCGUCACUUGUAUAAAGCUUGUGGGAUAAAGGAUACCUAACCAAUUCUUCUUUAUCUUGAUGGUCGAGGUGGUUUUGUAAUUUUCGAGUGAGAUAAAGGAUAUCUGACCACUAGUUGUGUGCCGAUUAUACAUGUCUUUCAAAUUGGAAGUGUUGAUCGGAAAUAUUUUAUGAUAAAGGUCACUUAAGAAGGAGACAUCCAAAACAUAGAUGAGAUCAAACAUAUCUAUCAAAAUAAUAUGUUAUUGAUCCAAUAAAUCUAGGAAUUAUUUAACAUAAUAUAAUUUAAAAUCGUUUUCUACCUAGUUGAAUUCAAUUAAUGGGAUAAAUGAUAGCUAGCCAUAUAUUUGUUUUCACAUUGGAUCAUAUAUUUUGAUAAUAAAUGUUUUAGAAAUGGAAAAAGUAUUAAUGUACAUAGAUACCUAUCAUGUUUAAAUUUAUAACCCUACAAUGCUUUUCUACUAAUUUACUUAUAGGCAGCAUAUCUAGUCAGUUUAUAGUAUAGAAAAGUAAGUCAGGUGUCAAUCUCAGUGAAUGGAAUUUAGUUAAUAAAAUAACUACUAAAAAUUAAUCUAAGAAAAACAACUUAAGUGUUUAUGUUUGUUUGGGGGAGAGGGGAGGGUUAUCUGAUUUUGCAAGUUCAUAUUAAAUUCUUUUUAAAGGACCAAAAACUAACAUAAACAACUAACUAACACGACUAUAAUCGAGAGGAUAAAGUCACUUCCGUUUAGCUUCGAAUCCAUUUUUUCCUAUGGGUAGUUUCAAAUCAUGGAUUAAUUUUAGUUGGUUCCCAAUAUAAAAUUAUUAGAAGUCAUGGUCCGAUCUCCGAAUGUUUUCACCAAUUCAAAGGAUUUUUAUGCUUUUUCUAUUGAUUUUAAUUCACUUGCUAUGAUCUUUUACAUGUUGCUUGAUCAUGUUUCUUGAUCUACUGAAGAUCUGAAGGUGAAGGUUGACCGGGCGGAGCAUAUGCUGGAGACCAAGGAGUUGAUUUCUAAGGUUAAGAGCAGUGUUGUUGAGGUCAUCUAAGAGGUAAAGAUCAAGCUGGCAGAGGAUGUGGAGAAUAAAGAAUCUUAGAAUGUCGAAGAUUGGCAUGAAACCCUGGCUAAGUUGAUUGGAAAGCUUUUAAAUGUUGCUCAAGAUCCUACAAAGAAGAGAAGAAAGAGACAAAGUAUAUCCUAACUGGGGGUGAUCAAACCUUGAAUUAAGUUUGAUAAAUUUAAAAACAAUUUUAAAAUUUUCCUCUAUAAAACAAUAUUUUUUUUUAUGGUUGGAGGGUAACCCUUAUUAAUACUGAUGCUUUGGUAUAUCUCUUUUCUUGCGUGAUUGAUUUGGUUACAGAAUCAAAAUAGGUUUUCUUGGGAUUCGUAGAUAAUUAGGAUCCUAAAGAGUUCAAAUUUUACAAAAUUCUUGGGAUCCUAAUAAUCUAGGAUAGCUAAUCAUCUGCCAAGGUCUUUCAAUUCAUUAGGAUCCUUAGUUAAAAAGGAUGAGCUUUUGAUUAUCCUCUUAUAAUGAUAAACUUAAGAAAAUAAGGAUAUAUAGAACCUGAUGACCCUUAGGUUUUGACCUUCUAAAGAUUUUUGACUUUGUAGAAGUUUUGCAUUGUAAGUCCUUUAGCUCUACGUGGUCUUGAAGCUUGUAUCAGGAGGAUUCUUUUUUUGGGAUUUUGAUGUGUGCAAACUCACUUAGUUUUAAACCUACUUUUAAUUAUCAAAUAACACACAAAAGGCAGUGAACCUAUCAAUUGUGAUAUAGUUGAAUAAGUAGGGUAUCGAACACAGGGAAAGGCAAAUUAAAACUAAAAACUAAUUUUAUCUAAAUUAAUUAAUAAGUAGGGGUUUUCUCUAUUUUUACAAGACUAGAAACUUACUAACUAUUACUUACUUAGAAACUAAAAGCAAAGGACUAACUAAAUUCAAUAGCGGGAAGGAACUUCUAUUUAGUUCAACUCAAUUGAUCCUAUGGUUGAUUACAAGGUAAUGGUGCAAUGGAUUAAUUAUUUUUUCGGUUACCGAUUCAAGUGAUUAGUUUCGCAUUCACUACACUAAUCCUUAGCAAACAAACAAACUUAAACAGUGGCCAGUUUUCUAAUUUAAUUGAAUUUACUAGAUUAAUUAUUUGGGUUAAGUUAGACUUGCAAUAGUUAACUAAUUUAUUCUUUUAAUUAACUUCUUGUUUGAUGGUCAUCUCACAAGCUUGCACAUGAAUUUACUCAAUUUUCUUAUUAACUCUAGUUUCAUAUUCAUUAAUACUAGACAUAUGACAAUAGUGAUCACAAAGUAUAUGAGAUUGAUAAUCAAUAGAUGUUCAUGCUAAUCAAUUAUCUCCCUAUUAACAGAAAAUUAAUUAUUAUUCACACACAAGGUUCUUUAGCAAGCUAAAAUAACAAAAUUCACCAACUUAGAAUUAAUCCUACCAACAAUCAAACCAUAUUAUCAAUUUUGUAUCCCCAAACAGAAGUCUAAAGGUUUUAGCUCAUAAUUGAAGUAAAUAACAGCAAACAAACAGAGUCUAAUUGUUUAACCAUAAUGACAAAACAAAAGAUUAAGUGGAAUGAUGAAAUUUUGCCUCAAUUCUCCUUCGGGAUUGAAUUCUAGCUUAUGACUUUGUCUUCUAGGGUUUUUCUGACUUCUUAAUCGCAGCAAAAGUCUUCUAAAUCGUCCCAUAAUUCCUCUAUAUCGUUCUGUGGAGUUAUCUUUAUAUAUACGAAUCGACUCGUCGAGUCAGGUGGCGACUCGUCGAGUCCAUCUCACAUUCCCCGUAUUGUGAUAACUCUCUGGGAUCCCGAGUCUUUAUCUUCUCGAUUCUUCGAUCGGACUCGCCGAGUAGUCGCCCCUACUCGCCAAGUAGGUGCUUUUUUCAAUGUUUUUCUUCUUUGUUCCGUUAUCGAACUUCUAACUAUUUCUCCCGCUUCCUUUCGCUUCCGAGCUUCAUUUUUGGACUGAAAACAUAAUUCAAACACUUUUAAGUACCUUUUGUCCAUAAAAUGCAAUAAUUUAGCUAAUAAAUGAAUAAAAAUGUAUACUUAAUAUGAACUAAUUAUGCACAUAUCAAAAUACCCCACACUUGUCUUUUGCUUGCCCCCAAGCAAAACUGAAUUUUAAACACAUUAGAAUUACAUAUGACAAUUCCAAUCUAACCCAGCUAUUAUGCCAAGACCGCAAUGCAUGCAUUUGUGUCUAAAGUUGUCCUAAGUACCCCCAUACUCCAAAUACUCACAAUCCUCAUAAACAUUCGCCCACUCACCCCGAACUAUGCUCAUUUUAUGCAACCCUCCGAAUCCAUCCGUAGAAAACCUCUUACCCUCAAGGUAUUUUUAAUUGAGCAACCCAAGCAUACAUAAUCUAGAAUUACAACUUUUCGAUACCACUAUGGAGCUCUCUUGAAUUCUUUACUUCCUUGAUAAUUUGAUCUUUGAUUUCUUUGAAUUCACCACCUUUAUUGUUCGAUUUCUGGUAUCUUCAACUUUUUGAAUUUCUUGGAAUUUUGAUCUUUUGAUCUUCACUUUAUUUGCUCCAAAAUUCUUCAACUUUUCUUGCAAUUCUCUCUUUUUUUUUUUUUUACAUGUACCUCACUUUUUCUUCACUCAAAACCCUACAUGCUUAAGCAGGGGCGCUCAAUCUCAACCUUUAUUGGCUAACGAUAAUAAUUUUCCUGGAUACAUUUCAGGUUUAGGCUGCUAAACAUAUUGCAUCCCUCAGGCUGAGCGGGGUCGUGUUUUUGUCUCAUGAUUUCACUGGAAUAAGGAAGCCACAAAUGCACUAGAACGUAUAUAGGCUCAACUAAACAUUUGGGUUUUCAUNNNNNNNNNNNNNNNNNNNNNNNNNNNNNNNNNNNNNNNNNNNNNNNNNNNNNNNNNNNNNNNNNNNNNNNNNNNNNNNNNNNNNNNNNNNNNNNNNNNNNNNNNNNNNNNNNNNNNNNNNNNNNNNNNNNNNUGCUAAACAUAUUGCAUCCCUCAGGCUGAGCGAGGUCGUGUUUUUGUCCCAUGAUUUCACUGGAAUAAGGAAGCCACAAAUGCACUAGAACGUAUAUAGGCUCAACUAAACAUUUGGGUUUUCAUAGAAUCAUCAAAUAUAAUACUAGCAUGAUCCCUAAUUACUUUUACCAAAAUUUUCUAAUUUAGCCCUAUCAAUUUUAUGCAAAAUUUUAAAAUUUAACUAUAAUUUUAACUAAUUUAACCAACCCCUACCCCACACUUAAUUUAUGCAAUGUCCCCAUUGCAUAUUAUGCAUGAUAAAGAACAAUAAAAUAAAGAGAGAAUUGGAACAAACUCCCCUGGGAUAGUAGUCGCGAGGUUGAUCUUCUUUAUUUAAAGCUCCAUCUUCAGCUGAUUUUAGACAUGGGAACAGCUCAUCCAUGCCUUGGGUGUCAAACAUCUCGUGUGGUACAGUCUUUAUAAAAGCUCCAAAUAUAAGGGAAAAACUCUUGCAAAUGCUCGGAAAAUGAUCUUCAAAGAAUAGAACCAAUGCCCAUAUCAAAUGUCAUCAAAUCUUCAGCUCAAAAGUAAGAAGAAUGGGUGACUCGUCGAGUAAGUAUGUAGACUCGCCGAGUUGAAGCACAAAUGGCAGAUGAAUCGUGAAUUUUCUCAUGGACUCGGCGAGUCCAUAAGAUGCACUCGGCGAGUAGACCGCUGUGUGAAAAAAAAAUUAUUCUGCCCAAAUCCGUUUCUAAUGUAUAGGGGUUACGUANCUUUUUGUGCGAGUUUUGAGCUGGACUCCCAACAUAAUAAACUUCCAAUAAACUCAUUACCAAUCCAUCCGUUGCAUUAAAUAUUUUCUUUGGUGCAACAAUUUGUAAAAUUUGACUCUUUGCUUCUAAAAUUGGCCAAACGAGCUUUAAUACAUAAAACCCAAGAAUUCUGACAAGGGUUGGGACUGGUCGGGUACUAAUCAGAAAUGGAUCGCACUUCAGAACUUUCUCCAAAGUUGGAAUCGUCACCCCAUGCUUCGAAACACAAACAGAAAAUACAGGGGGCCAUGUCGUGGUAAUGGUCAAACCACAGCUUGGUUCCUGCAAUUCAGCUUGUUCUUAUUCUUCGUCUGACCUCUCUGUUGGCAACCUUUCUAGCUCCUCCAAAUCUCUUUCUGGAUUAAAUUCAUCAUCUUGUAACUUUAGCUCUUGUGACUCAAACUAUUCUUGAUCGUUAGACAAGAAGUUAUCUAACCAUCUAUCCAAUUUCAUCAACUCUUCGUCUGAGUCAUACUCCUCAUCUUCUUGCUCAAAUUCCUACAUUACCUCCUCAAGAAAAGCAUCAAAAGCAUCGAGAUUUGGAAAAUACAUAAUAAAAAAAAACAAAAAAAAAACUAAUCAAUAAAAUAAAAACGAUAAGAAUUAGCAAAUAAAAUUAACUAUUUGAACCGUUCCCCGGCAACGGCGCCAAAAACUUGAUGUGUGCAAACUCACUUAGUUUUAAACCUACUUUUAAUUAUCAAAUAACACAUAAAAGGCAGUGAACCUAUCAAUUAUGAUAUAGUUGAAUAAGUAGGGUAUUGAACACAGGGAACGGCAAAUUAAAACUAAAAACUAAUUUUAUCUAAAUUAAUUAAUAAGUAGGGGUUUUCUCUAGUUUUACAAGACUAGAAACUUACUAACUAUUACUUACUUAAAAACUAGAAAGAAAUGGACUAACUAAUUCAAUAGCGGGAAGGAACUUCUAUUUAGUUCAACUCAAUUGAUCCUAUGGUUGAUUACAAGGUAAUGGUGCAAUGGAUUAAUUCUUUUGUCGGUUACCGAUUCAAGUGAUUAGUUUCGCAUUCACUAAACUAAUCCUUAGCAAACAAACUAACUUAAACAGUGACCAGUUGUCUAAUUUAAUUGAAUUUACUAGAUUAAUUAUUUGGGUUAAGUUAGACUUGCAAUAGUUAACUAAUUUAUUCUGUUAAUUAACUUCUUGUUUGAUGGUCAUCUCACAAGCUUGCACAUGAAUUUACUCAAUUUUCUUAUUAACUCUAGUUUCAUAUUCAUUAAUACUAGACAUAUGACAAUAAUGAUCACAAAGCAUAUGAGAUUGAUAAUCAAUAGAUGUUCAUGCCAAUCAAUUAUCUACCUAUUAACAGAAAAUUAAUUAUUAUUCACACACAAGGUUCUUUAGCAAGCUAAAAUAACAAAAUUCACCAACUUAGAAUUAAUCCUACCAACAAUCAAACCAUAUUAUCAAUUUUGUACCCCCAAACAGAAGUCUAAAGGUUUUAGCUCGUAAUUAAAGUAAAUAACAGCAAACAAACAGAGUCUAAUUGUUUAACCAUAAUGACAAAACAAAAGAUUAAGUGGAAUGAUGAAAUUUUGCCUCAAUUCUCCUUCGGGAUUGAAUUCUAGCUUAUGACUUCGUCUUCUAGGUUUUUUCUGACUUCUUAAUCGCAGCAGAACUCUUUUGAAUCGUCCUAGAAUUCCUCUAUAUCGUUCUGUGGAGUUAUCUUUAUAUAUACGAAUCGACUCGUCGAGUCAGGUGGCGACUCGUCGAGUCCAUCUCACAUUCCCCGUAUUGUGAUAACUCUUUGGGAUCCCGAGUCUUUAUCUUCUCGAUUCUUCGAUCGGAUUCGCCAAGUAGUCUCCCCUACUCGCCGAGUAGGUGCUUUUUUCAAUGCUUUUCUUCUUUGUUCCAUUCCCGAACUUCUAACUGUUUCUCCCGCUUCCUUUCGCUUCCGAGCUUCAUUUUUGGUAUAAAAACAUAAUUCAAACACUUUUAAGUACCUUUUGUCCAUAAAAUGCAAUAAUUUAGCAAAUAAAUGAAUAAAAAUGUAUACUUAAUAUGAACUAAUUAUGCACAUAUCAGAUUUCAUCAUGGAAGAUCCUUGUUUAGCUUCUACUUAGUAAACCAGGGAGGAUUCCAUGUUAGAAAGCCUUUGGAGGUAAAUCCAAGUGAGAAAACUAUUGUUUAUAACAUGGUAAUGCUACAAAUCUUGCAUAUAUUCAGAGGAGUGACCUAGUCUUAGUAAACUAUUGGGAAAAAUCCAAAGUGUAUGAUAACAUGAGAAUGUUAUAAACAUUAAGUAUUUUGUGGGGAAAAUCCCAACAUGAGAUAACACGUAGGUGUUAUAAACUUUAGAAAAAAAAAAUCCAUACAUAGCUUUUGCUAGGGAAAAUCCCAACUUAAAAAAUAAUGGAGAAGAUCCCAACUUAGGUAAUAUUAGGAAAGACCCCAAAUAGGUAAUACCAGGGAAGAUCCCAACAUAGGUAAUAUCGGGAAAUAUCCCACAUAGGUAAUAAUUGGGGAAAUCCCAACUUUAGAUAAUAACCGAGGAUAAAUCCAACUUCAAAUAAUAACUGAGGAUAAACCCAAUUUCAGAAAAUAACUGAGGUUAAACCCAAAUUUAGAUAAUAACUAGGGAUAAGCCUAUUUCGUAAGAAAACAUGAUAAUGUUAUAAACUUUAGAAAUUUAGUGUAGGUUCUGAACGUAAGUUCUUCAUAAUAAAACAAGUAUAAAAGAAGUUGUUAAGAACUAAUUUUGGUAAAUCUAAUCAAUUUAAAAUAGUAAAUUACUCUAAAGUGAUGAAAUUUUAUAAAUCAUAAAUUGGUUUAGGAUCCUGAAAAUUUUAAGAUCCUUAAUUUUACAUAAAAAAUUUCAAAGUUAAGAACAAGGAAAAAUGGAACCUGAUUGUCUUCGAGUUUUUCCUUAAGCUUCAAAAGUUCUUCAAUCUUAGAAUUUACUGAGGAUAAAUCUCAACUUAGGAACGAACUUAGGAUUGCUGUUGACCUCUAAUGAUAAGAUUCUUACUGAUGAGGAUCCUUACCGAUGAGGAUCCUUAAUGAUGAGUAUCAUAAGAUCAUACGGGGGAAUUUCCUUCUUAGGACAACCAGUUUAGGUUAUAAACCUUGAGAAAAUUCCUGGGUAACUCCAUAAGUUCAAUUGAUAACAUGUUAAUGUUAUAUACUGGGGAGGAUCCCAACUUGUGACAUUAUUCAUGGGAAAGAUCCUUACUAAUGAUAACAUGAAAAUGUUAUAAUUUGAGUGUAUUCUCUGGGGAAAAUUUCCCACGUUUGAUAGCAUGAAGAUGUUAUAGACCUUAUGUAGUUUUUGGGGCAAGAUCCCAAUUUUGUAUAAUAUGAGAAUGUUAUAAACCUUAUGUAAUCACUGGGCUAGAUUCCCAAUUUUUGAUUAACAUGAGAAUGUUAUAAACCUUAAGGAUCUCAACUUAUGUUCAAAGAUAAGAGGGUUGCCAAGCCACUGAGUUGUGAAAUGAUCCCUUUAUUCAUAUCCCACAGUUAGAUAUCGUGCAUCCAAGCAAGGUGUAGAAACCUAAACUUGUUAAAAAGAGGUCAUUAACUCUUUAAACCUUAGGAUCUUAACAUAUGUUUUGAAAUAAGUGGGUUUCCAAGUCACUAAAGCAUGAAAUGAUCCCCUUACUCACAUUCCAUAGUAAGAUACCGUGCGUCCAAGCGGGGUGUGGAAACCCAAACACGGAUGAAAGAGGUUAUUAACUCUUUAAGCCUUUGAGGGGAUUAAGUACCCUUAAUCGGAGGAGAGAUGAUCAAUCUCUAUACGUAGUGGAUAGGAUCCUAGAGUUUCUGCAUGUUGCAAAUGUUAGCUUGGGGUGGGCGUUAGCUUGGCUAAUGCCCCUCCGAUCUUAGCUUGGUUGUGAUGAAAUGUAACUAUAACGACAUACGUAAAGCGCACUUUCAGGUGUAUAAAAUUCCAGGAUCUUAGCAAGAUGCUAGCCACGAUGCUCCCUUUUUUGCUUCCGAAACAAUGAGAUAUGCAUCAUAGUUCUAAUCAUGCGUGAAGGCAUAUUUCUUUAUGGUUAUCCAAUAAUAUCAUGUUAUUAACACUUUAGGAAAUAAGGAUCUGACCCCAGUGUGGUUGCCAUAAUCUACUUCAUGUAUGUCUUUUAGAAUUUCUGUAGCUUCGUGAUCUUCCAAACAUCUAAGAUAUGGACCUGCCAUGGUUUUCCUAUGUAAUUUCCCUUGGAUCAUUACAAAGUGUGAGUCCCUCAUCUUGAAGUCUUUGUCGCUUUUCUCUUCCUUUGGAAUCAUUCCAUUUCACAGAAAUUCCAAAAUGGAGUGGAUCCAGGAUCAUGAACUUUAAAAAGGUUUGAUUGCUGCUAGGUUGGUCAUCUGAUCAUGGUCGCCGGGGUUGUCUGGUCUCUUGGUGGGAUCUUUUAUCGUCGGGAGCAUUAUAUGGGUUAUUGGGAUCCUGGUCUUUGGUGGGAUCCUAAGGGAAGAUCCUAAGUGGACUGAUGUGUCUGCCUCAACGUUAUCUUUGCUAGCAACUUGAUUCAUACUAAAAGCUUCAAACUCGGAGGCUAAUAUUUUAAGAAUUUGAAGGUAUAGUGCUAGUCUUUUGCCUUGAACUACAUAGGAUCCAUUAAAGUGGUUAGUUAUUAAUAAAAAAAUUGACAUAUACCUGAAGACCCUUGAUCUGAAGAUCUUUGAUCAGUUGUAACCCCACGAUCAAUGCUUCAUACUUUGCUUCAUUGUCAGUUGCAUUGAAUUUAUAAAUAAAUUCCAGGGUAGGAUGUCCCCCUAUAGCGAUUUUAGUAUGAUCCAUGGGCUUGCUUCCCUAAAGUUGUUAGUUUCAUCUGCGAAAAGCGUUUAUUUUCCCAUGCUUUCUUCUUUUUGGGGUUGUCGAUUUUCCAAUUCUGCUUUUGGGUUGUAGAUCAUCACUAAAAUCAGCCACAAAUUCUGCUAGUACGUAUGAAUUUUUUGAGGAUCCUCACUCAUAUUUGAAUUCAUAUGUGAUGACCUUUAUUGACCAUUUAGUUAUUUUAUCUGACAUUUCUAGAAUUCUCAUGAAAUUCUUGAUAAGAUAAUGAGUUUUGACUCAUAUAAUAUGAGUUUCAAAAUAAUGUCUUCAUUGGGUAGAAGUUAUAACUAGUGCAAGUAUUUCUUUUCCACGAAGAGAGUACCAGUUUCAGGAUCUGAGAGACUUUUACUUACAUAGUAAAAAGUUUGUUGUUUACCAUCAAGAUCCUUGGCCAGAACAACACUUAUAACAUCUAAAGAUACUGAAAGAUGUAAGAGGAAUGCUUCCUCAUUCGAAGAUCCUUGGACAGGACUUAGUUUUAUUCCCCUAUCGGUGACCAUGUAUCUGAGGAACUUACCUAACUUCAUUCCAAAGUGACACUUGGAAGGGUUCAGGUUCAUGUUAUAUUUGUCUAGUAUGUUGAAGGCAUCUUCAAGAUCUUUGAGGUGAUCUUCAUCUCUUUUGGAUUUGACCACCAUGUCAUCAAUGUAGACUUCCAUGUUGUCCCUAAGUUUGUCCUUGAACAUUCGAUUCAGUAAUCUUUGUUAUGUUGCACUUGUCAUGCCUUUGUGCUUCCAUGCAAAGGUUUUCUUUCAGGAAUGUAACUAAGUCCAUUUCAAUGCCUUCUGGUAUUGAGGAUCCUAUUAGUACUUUGGCGUCAGGAUCCACAAGGUCUAAGGGCACUUCUUUUAUAUCUUGCUCAUUCUCUUAUGGUUCAUCUCGUUCCCCCAGCUUCAAUUGUUAUGCUUGCUUUGGUACAGAGGAAGGCAUUAUUGAAAUCUUGUAUCAUUCUUUUGUUGGAUAAUGAGUCUAAGUCCAUAACUAUAUUUAGUAUGUACUUGACCUAGUUUAGCAUGGCCCAUUUGGGUUGCAUGGCAUCAUAAUAAUUAGAUAGACAAAAUGAGAAAAAGGACACUUAUGGUUUGUUAAAAUAUUAUAUGUUCUAAUAUAUUAUUUAAUUAGUAUUGAUCAAGAAUUAAUUUGGAAUUAAUUUUGUGAUCAAAAAGAGACUAAUUAAAUAUAUGGGGAUUGAUUUGUAAAUCAUUCAUUCUUAUGUAGUGGGCUUAUCGUUCAUGAUUCACUAGAUUGGGCUAGGACCCAUUGGGUGCUCCAUGGGUGCUCCAUGGAGGUUAAAACCCAUGGAUCAUGGAGGAAAUAAAAAUUCAUGCACAUUAGGGUUUACAUAGUGUAACCCUACAUUUGGCACACUAUAUAAAGAGCCCCAUGUAAAGCAAAAUGGGCACUAAGUCUAAAUGGGUGAAGGCUAGCCGAUUUUUGUGCUCAAGUUUCUUCUCUCAAGUUAUUCCAAGAGUUGUGGUGUUGUGUGAAAUAUUUGAGGCAUCAUAUUUGGGAUGCUAGGGUCACAAAGGCUUAAGGAAUCCAAGCUACAAGAAAUGUAUGUCAUUCUACUAGUUUUUUAUAUUACAAGUACCCCCUGACAUGCUAGUUAGGAUGUAAGCCUUGGAAAAUCAAAUUUGCAUAAAUAUUAGAGAAAACAUAGAUCCAAGGUUUCUAAGGUUACGUGUACACCAUAAGAGUGUUAGAAUGCUCAAAACCCAUUAGUGGUAUCAGAGCCUAGGCUUUCUUUCUUGAUAUUUGAUGCAAAGUGCUUGAAAAAAUUGAAUUUUCUGCUCACUUUUCAGUGGACUCUCCGAGUCCAUGGGGGGACUCGACGAGUCCAAGCGAAAAUGCAUCCUACUCGUUGAGUAGGUUCUUGCACUCGGCGAGAAGGAGCUCCUGUGUGUAGAUUUUCGAGUUUUGCUACUAGAAAUGGACUAGAAUCAUUACCUAAUCUAUUUUGGACUUAUAAAAUAUGGUUUUGAUGGUGUAAUGAUUAUGCUAAUCCAUUUUCAACGGCUAUUAUCAAAAUUUCAAGUUUUAUACGUGUUUAUAUGAUUCUUUAAAUUUUUGAUAUGAAUAUUCAUGCUUAUGAGUUUUAGUCAGAUCAUAGGAAUUAUGUGUAAAUUGUUUGAUGAUGUAAUUCUUGAUCUAACUGUAAUUCAUGGAGUCCAUAAUUUGUCCUCAAGUUAUGGAUUACCGAAAUUCUUUUCUUUAAAGAGUGAUUAAAGAACCAUAGGUUACAUAAAAUGAAGAGUCUUCAUUUUAAUAAACCAUUAAAGUCAUAAGUUAUGAAUAUGAAAGGUUUUAAAAAGUUUCAAAACUUCCCCUCAAGUUUUGGAAUUUGUAAAUUCACUUUAGAAAACUUUAAUUCCAUACUCUAGAGUUUUAAAAGUUGAAAUUCAACCCUUAUACUUUAUAAUAUUGUAAGUUAACAAUAUAUAUAUAUAUAUAUAUAUAUAUANNNNNNNNNNNNNNNNNNNNNNNNNNAUGUGUGUGUGUGUGUGUGUAUAUAUAUAUAUAUAUAUAUAUAUGUGUGUGUGUGUGUGUGUGUGUGUAUGUAUGUAUGUAUGUAUGAGCAAGUUAGUUUUCCCAUUAGUAGGCCUCAUUCAUGAUGUCAGUCUAUAAGGGGGGUAUAAGGUUGUUACCUAUAAAAUGGCAGCUUAAUGGGUGUCCACUCUCACCCACCACUUCCUUGACUGGUGGAGGGUCAUUAGCCGAAUGGUUAGGACAAGGAAUCUAAUUCUCAUUAAAAGUAUAAUGAAAAAUAUAAAGUAACUAAAUGUCACACCCCCAAACCAAGGAUGGCGGAAACGUCCGGGGGUGGAGGACUUCAUGUAGAGUAUCACAACAACGAGUAUAAUAGUGCUCAAAGUAAAUACAACCAUCAUAAAUAUAAUGGAAACAGUUACACCAAAGUAUAUGUUUACAUGAUUCAAAUCAAUUACAUUAUGAUACAAAAUGAAUUGUUUGACGAUUUAUCGUCCCAUCCUCAAAACGUGGUUGAAUUCUUGUUUCACUGAAUUCCUGAGAAUACAAGUAGUUUGGAAAAGUGUCAACACAAAGGUUGGUGAGUUCAUAGGCUUUUGAUAGUAAGAGUUUGAAAAUCGAUCUUUGUAAAGAGAUGUAUGUUACCAAGAAAAAUCCAAUAUUUUCCUUACAAAAGUUAUGUGGUCCUAAAUACCAGGACCAAAAAUGAACAAAUAUUUGUCAUACUUAAAGAUAUAAAAGUGGUUUUAAAUCGGCAUAAAACCCUUUCUGAUGUGAGAAAAAUCCUGUAAUGAAUGAUGUGUAGUCUUAAAUACCAAGACCGAAAGUAUACAAUAAAAUGUGUAAUUGCUGAUGUAAAAAGUGAUUUUAAAUCGACAUAAAACCCUUUUUGAUAUGAAGGCGUACAAGUAUUUUUCCAUACUUAAGGAAACUUCUAUGUGUUAAAUCGACAUAACUCGCUAAUUUAAAAUUAGAACCCGUAAAUCUUAUGAUUGUUAAUACCACAUGUGAGCUAUCAUAACCAUACUUGACAUAGACGGCCUCGUAAUACGACGUUCUUCAGGCGUCGCCGUUAAAUGACACUUGUCACCACAGACCUGCCGGUCUAGCUGUUGCAAGCAGCUCUGGUGUGGGUUUGUCAAACCCAAUAUAGAUCUAUACACAACUAUCACGUUCUCCCUACAAGAGACUCUGGUUACAAUUUACAGGACUUUUUGACUUUGUUACUUUGGAAGUAACCCGAAGGGAAUGACUCACAAAUUUAUUCAUUAACAGAUUUACGUGAACUAAACUGAAAACCUUUGGUAAAUAAGUUUGAGAAGUAAAUGAUACAUAAACUAUACCUAUUAUAGUUUAUCCAAAACGUUUGUAAUGUAUAAGAAUUCUUUUAUGAAUGCUUUAAUGCUAUGAAUCCAUAAACUAUGCUCAUUAUAGCUUAAUAUACGUGUUCUAAAUGAAUGAAUAAUCUUAUCAUGAAUGACUAUAUUUCAGUUUAUGAUGAUAAACUAACAAGGAAACACAUUCAAUAUUUAGAACUUAUCGUUAUACACUUUGCUCAACAUAAUACAAAGUGUUAUGAAAGUUAUAAGCUGUUAACAAAUUUUCAACCUUUCUACACUGUUUUUGAAAAGUCAUAGAAAAAUCAUACGAAGUUGAAAACUAAAUCCGUAAAUUCUGAGAGUUCCCAAAAUGUGUCUAGUUUACUCAUAAUUUUUAUCAUGAUUUUUAAUGACCUCCAACUUGGGUGAAAAAGUCCAUAAUCACAGACUGGUCCGGAUUGGUGUUUGAAAUGAUAGGCAAUUUUGUAAAAAUCACCAUAAAUUGUAUAAAAAUCGUAUGGAGAUGUACAAGUAGUCAUUUUAAAGCUAACAACUGGAACUACUUACACCUAAAACAGUUUUUCAAAAAAAAAAUGUUUAUGUUGUCCAAAACAGUCCGUGAAUGGAGUCCAACUUUUCUGAUGAAAGCUGUAAGAAAAUUUUAGUUAUGUUCUUGGUGUUUUAACUUGUAUUCCCCCCCCUAAAAACUUGAGAAAACAUGAAAAUGUAGGGGUAUGAACUCAGCUUGAGUGAUUUCAGAAGAUGAGUGUUGGAGAAGAGAAGUGUUCACCCCAAGAACACUUGAAGAAUCACUUGAAGAUUCGAAGAUCUAACACAAUUAUGAUGGAGUUUGUGUAAGAUAUCCAUGAAUUGAGUAGAAAGAAGUGAAAUAAUCAUAAGGAGAAUGGAUUUUGCUUACCAAAUGUGGAGGAAAAACCCAAGAUCAGCCCUUGAAUCUNNNNNNNNNNNNNNNNNNNNNNNNNNNNNNNNNNNNNNNNNNNNNNNNNNNNNNNNNNNNNNNNNNNNNNNNNNNNNNNNNNNNNNNNNNNNNNNNNNNNNNNNNNNNNNNNNNNNNNNNNNNNNNNNNNNNNNNNNNNNNNNNNNNNNNNNNNNNNNNNNNNNNNNNNNNNNNNNNNNNNNNNNNNNNNNNNNNNNNNNNNNNNNNNNNNNNNNNNNNNNNNNNNNNNNNNNNNNNNNNNNNNNNNNNNNNNNNNNNNNNNNNNNNNUUUUGGAUAAGGUUUUAUCCUUAAAAAUGUGAUAAUUUAAUAAUUAUGGGUCCUUAUAUGUUAAAAUAAAGUUUUGGAUGAAAAUCCCACAUUAAAACAAUUAAAAACGAAGCUAAAAUGAAGUCGUAGUCGAAAACCGGGAGAAAAAGGAUUUCCAGCGAGACCUCUCGGUCCCUAGGCCGAGGUUCGGUCCCUAAUGAUGCCGAGCCGGAGGCGAGAUUGGCGAAACAGAAGUGUGAAGCGAAGGCGAAGGCUCGGUCCUAGUCUUAGAAGCGAGGGCUCGGUCAAAGGCAUCAGGAUCCGAAAUGGACCGAUGGUUCGGGUUCGGGUGUGUAGGCGAGGUUCGGGCCCGAGAGGACCUUUCGGGUUCGGUUCAGCAGCCUUCGGCUCAGAAGGGUUCGGUCCCUUAAGAGGACUUUCGGGUCCUAAGAGGACUUUCGGUUCCUAAGAGGGGUUUCGGUUCCAAAGAGGAGUUUCGGCUCCUUAAGUCCGUUUUUCGCGUAGACUUCCGUUUUUGGGCUGUUUUCGCCAAAUUCGAGGGUCGGGAUGCCCCGAGUGAUUAUAGAAAGUUGAGAGAGAUUUUGAGAGAGAUUUGGGAGAGAUUUGACAUUCUUGGAGAGAUUUCUCAUACAAAGAGAUGUUUUGGAGAGAUUUCACAUACUUAGAGAGAUUUGGGAGAGAUUUCACAUACUUGGAGGAAUUUCUCAUACAAAGAGAGAUUUGGGAGACAUUUCACAUACUUAGAGAUAUUUGGGAGAGAUUUGACGUGCUUGGAGAGAUUUCUCAUACAAAGAGAUGUUUUGGAGAGAUUUCACAUACUUAGAGAGAUUUGGGAGAGAUUUGACAUUCUUGGAGAGAUUUCUCAUACAAAGAGAUAUUUGGGAGAGAUUUCUCAUACUUAGAGAGAUUUCACAUACUUGGAGAGAUUUGGGAGAGAUUUCUCAUGAAGAGAGAUAGAGUGAAAACGAUUGAGAGAGGUUUCAUUGGUGACCUUUUUGAGUGUCCGGCUUACCAAUGCAAGGUCCGUAAACCCUGUUAAGCCUUAUUUAAGGAUCUUACAUACUCCCGAUGAGUAUGCAACACUGUUUUAUCGGUUUGGCUCGCCACGUACCACAUAUUUAGGUUAAGGAGAUCUAGAUGUACGAACUUUACAAUUUAUGACUCCUCAUUAGAAUAGCAAGUUGUAUAGAAAUUACAUAAUGUAAAUUCUAGUACCCAGGGGCAAAUUGAGUCGAACGGUUUGACUUGUUGCCUUUGGUUGACUUUGACUUGACCGGAAGUUGACAGUUGUCGAACUAAACCUUUUAUAAAUUCCCAAUCUUAGUUACUUUAGGAAAAUGUGAAAUUGGUUCUAACCCAUGAAAUUACACUUUGUACCAUACCAAGUUGUUGGUGGAGCGUGUGUGGGUAACCGACACACUAACAUAGACUAGUAAGAGUGGCAAAAUGCGACUUAAUCUUUAUCAUAGAUCGGUGGAGCGCAUGUGGGUAACUGGCACAUUGAUUAGAUGAUAAAGAUUAAGGGUACCAAGUUAAUUUGCAUGGUUAUUCAAACCUUGUUUGUGAUCCUCGACAUCCUAGUCACAAACUUGAGAGGGCACAAUCGAGAUUUAAACAUGCCAUUAAAAAGUUCAAUGAAUCUCAAAAGAAUCUAGGAGUUUCAAUCCAAUUAAAACCUAAUAAUUUAUUUUGUUUUUCAUGGUGAAAAUUAGUGAAUCGUCAUUCGUCUACAUUCAAAUAUUUUAAUGCUUGGAUUACGACAUCCCUCUUCCAAGUUCUGAAGUAUUGUGUUGGGUCCUAGCCUUAAUAUUAUAUGUGGGUGUCUUAUUAAGGAUCCUAUAUCUAAUCUCAACUUUUGUUUCUUCUUUUCAGAUGUCUUCCAACAAUGGUGCUUCUGGCUCAAACCCUUCCGGCUCCUUCUCUCUCAUGAACCUUUAUGGGAGAGACAUCUUUGAUGCUUCAAACUUUAAUGAUUAGAUUAGGAACGUCAGGAUGGUCACACGUUACGAGGACAAGGGAAUAUGUCCUUGACAAGGAGCUAAAAUAAAUUGAUGAGUCUACUUCUACUCCAGGAGAUCGCUGACUUUAGGGCACAUGAGAGAGAUGCCAUGAAGGUGGAAUGUAUCAUGCUAGCGACAAUGACAGUUGAACUCUAGAAGUCCUAUGAGGACUUUUACCCUUUUGAGAUGCACAUGGACUUGGUGGACCGCUACCAUCAAAGUGCUCGUCAACAGAGGUAUGCAAUCAUCUCUUCCAUGAUAACAACCCAAAUGAAGGAUGGUGAAUCCAUCACGGGCCACAUGUAGAAGAUGCAAAGAUUUGUGGAACGUUUACUGAAGUUGAAUGUGAACUUCCCCGAGGAGUUAGCUAUUGAUAUCAUAUUGCACUCCUUACCUACUUGUGAUGAUUAGUUCUGAAAGAGCUAUCACAUGAAAAAGGAGGAGGUUACACUCAGAAAACUUCAAGGACUUUUGAAGACAUCCGAAAUCGAUCUCAAGGGUAAAUUGGUUGUUACUACUCCUACUCCUAACACCGCCCCUGUUCUGGAAAUCAGGCAAGUUAGAGGGACAAAGAGGAAGACCCCUUCGAAGGGUACCAAGGGAAAUUCUCUUGAUGGCUCCUCUUCAAUUGGAACCAAAGGUGGUUCUGUUUCUCCUUCUUCCAACCCAAAGGAAUCUCAAUGCAUCUAUUGUCAGGAAAAGGGGCACUGGAAACGAAACUGCCCCAAGUACUUACACAAUGUUAAGGAUGGGAAGGUCAAACCUACCCAUGAAGGUGUUUACACUAUAUUGUCUAAUAAAUCAUUAAAUUCUACUUCUUCGGUUCUUGAUACAGGUCGUGGUAUUCUUAUAUGUUCUGAUUUGUCGGGCCUAAGAAGAAGUGAUGAUGUUGAGCACAGAAAGAUAAACUUGAUCAUGGGGAAUAGGAAAGUCUCACCUGUCACCAAGAUUGGAGUUUAUUCUUUGUUGCUAAGUAGUGUGUUAGUGUUAGAUUUGAAUAAGUGAUGUUACUUGUCUGAAAUGGUGAGAAAUAUUAUUUCCAUUCAUGGUUUGUGCAAAUAAGGAUUUACUUUUUCAUUUGAUAAUAAAGUUGGUGGUAUUAAUUCUUUUUAUAAUAAUGUUCUUUAUUUUAAAGCAUUACCUUGUGAUGGUGUAUAUGAAACUGUGUCAGUUGUAGAUAACUUAUGAAAUAACGUAUUGUAUAUCGAUUCUUCCACUAUUUUGGAUAAAGCAUCUUUGUGGAAUUGUCGUCUUGGACAUGUUAACAAGAAGAGCAUAGCCCAACUUUAGAAGGCUGGAGUCUUGGAGUCAUUUGACUUAAGGUCAGAUGAUAAUUGCGAGUCAUGUUUACUUGGAAAAAUUACAAAGUCACCCUUCACUGGUACUUGUGCGAGGAGUGAAGGUUUGUUGGACCUCAUACGCACAGAUGUGUGUGGACCCUUCAGAACCACCACAAGGGAUGCUAAUCGCUUCUAUGUGACUUUUACUAAUGAUUAUAGUAUAUAUAGGUAUGUCUACUUAAUCAAGCAUAAUUAAGAAACCUUUGAAAACUUCAAAGAGUUUAAAUAGGAAGUGGAGAAUCAGCUGGGCAGGAACAUUAAGAUGCUCUGAUCCUAUCGAGGACGAGAGUAUCUUAGCACAGAGUUCCUUGACUAUCUUAGGGAAUCUAGAAUUGUUUCACAAUUGACACCUCCCAGAAAACCACAUCUUAAUGGUGUGGCUGAGAGGCGCAGUAGAACCUCGUUAUACAUGGUUCGUUCCAUGAUGAGUCAAGCUUCGUUAUCAGUCUCAUUCUGCAGGUAUGCCUUAGUGGUUGUCGCCCAUACCUUAAAGCUAGUCCCUAUCAAGAAGGUUGCCAAAACACCUCAUUAGAUGUGGUCUGGGAAAGUUCCCAAUUUAGACCACAUCAAGAUUUGAGGUUGCGAGGCCUUUCUGAGAUAUGAGACUCAGGACACGCUCGAACCUCGUAGUGAGCGGUGUAUUUUCAUCGAGUACCCACAUAAAUCCUUUGGUUGCCUCUUCUACAGACCUAGUGAGAAUGUGGUCUUUGUGGCAAGGAGAGGGGUCUUUCGUGAAUGAGAGUUUAUAAGCCAAGGAAACAGUGGGAGGCAAAUUGAUCUUAAAGAACUUCAAGAGUCAAGCGAUGAAGGAACCUAAGACCCUAAUAAUCAACCUAAGGAGGAAACUCCUAUUGAUUAGUCGUUACUUCUAAGCCGUUCCACAAGAUUUAGCAAUCCACCUGAGCAUUACUAUGGUUUUCAUAUUACUGCGGAAGGUGAUGCAUUUAUUAGUGAUAGUACACUGGUAAAUUUAGAUGAGCCUAAUAACUUUAAGGAAGCCAUGGCAGGCCCUGAGUCCGCGAAAUGGAAAGAGUCCAUGGACAACGAGAUUCAGUCCAUGUAUGACAAUCAAUUUUGGAACUUUGUUGACAAUGUACCGGGUCGUAAGAUGGUAAGGUGCAAAUGGAUCUUCAAGAAGAAGACCAAUAUGGAUAGGAACGUACACACUUAUAAAGCACGACUGGUUGCGAAGGGAUUUACUCAAACUCCGGGAGUUGACUAUGACGAGACCUUCUCACCAGUAGCAAAGAUUAAGUCUAUUAGGGUUUUGCUAGCCAUAGCUGCAUUUCAUGAUUAUGAAAUAUGGCAAAUGGAUGUCAAAACCGCUUUCCUUAGUGUAAGCUUGAGAAAUCCGUCUAUGGAUUGAAACAAGCAUCUUGCAGAUGGAAUCUUUGUUUCGAUGAGAAAGUCAAAGAGUUUGAUUUUUCAAAGAGUGAAUAUAAGUCGUGUGUAUAUGUUAAGGCUAAUGGGAGUAUAGUUAGGUUUUUCGUACGGUAUAUGGAUGACAUACUACUCAUAGGAAAUGACAUCCCAACCUUGUAGGAGGUUAAAACUGACUUGGGAAGUGUUUCACUAUGAAGGACCUUGGAGAAGCUGCCAAUAUCCUAUGUAUAAGGAUUUUGAGAGAAAGGAGUAAGAGACUAAUUGGACUUCGUCAAAUUACCUACUUGGAUAAUGUGCUGAAGAGUUUCAGCAUGCAGGAUUCCAAGAAAGGCGACUUACCAAUCCAGAGUAACGCCAAACUGAGUAAGACUCAGAGGCCGAGUACAGAGGCUGAGAUAGCUUAGAUGAGUCGAGUACCAUAUGCUUCCGCUGUAGGCUCGAUCAUGUUUGCUAUGACUUGUACUCACCCGGAUGUGGCCUUUGCUUUGAGCAUGUUCAACAUAUAUAUUAAGGGAAUCCAGGAAAGGCUCACUGGACUGCAGUAAAGAAUAUUCUCAAGUACCUAUGGAGGACUAGGGACUAGGUCCUUACCCUUGGUGGGAAUGAUGAUUUAAGAGUUGUGGUGUAUAGUGAUGCUGGCUUCCAGAAUGAUAGGGAUAAUUUCUGCUCUCAGUCGGGCUGGGUCUUUACCCUAAACGGAGGAACGAUUACUAGGAAAAGUUCUAAGCAAGAAACAGUAGCUGAUUCAACUUGGGAAUCAAAGUACAUAGCAUCAAGUGAGGUGGCAAAGGAAGAUGUAUGGCUAAACAACUUCAUUGGAUACCUUGGAAUUGUACCUGCUAUUAAGGAGCGUAUGGAUAUUUUCUUUGAUAAUGAGGGUGCAGUUACCUUAGCUAAGGAACUAAGGGAUCACGGCAGAUCCAGACACAUCGACAGAAAAUACCACUUCAUUAGACAUUAGAUAGAAGAAGGACUCCUCGUGGUAAAGAGGGUAUCAUCAGAUGAGAAUCUAGAAGAUCCCCUCACGAAGGGGCUGUGUAGGGUUAAGCAUUUGCAGCAUGUGAGGCGCAUUGGGCUGAAGGAUAUUAUUAGUUUUAUAGAUUAGAUAGUUAUUUCUAAAACAUGUAAAAUGUAAAUUGACAUUUGAUGAUUAAAUAAAAGUUGUUGUUUAUUUAUAAGUAACGUGUUGCUAUCUUGUGUCAAUUAUUUACUAUUGUUUCAAUUUUACAUGUUUUGACUUCCAAAAUAAUUACUUUAUUCAAAUUCUCCAUAGUCAGUCAUAUGUUGGAAGUAGAUAUCAAUCAAGACUGUCAUGAAUUGGGCUUGUAGAUAUCUAAGAUGUUAGACAUAGCAAAAGAUGCCACAACAUUCAUGAGUGGUCAUAAGUUCUGAGUAUUGGAUUCAACCCAUGCUCACUUGUAUCACUUCAUGGAAUUUAUCUCGAGUGAGACGCUAAUAUCAUAUAAGUCUUCAAACCUAGAGAUAUGAGUUGUUGAUUAUGAGUUGUUUGUGCAUUUAUUAUACGAAAACGCACUGGUAACUCGAUGUUAUAAAACGUGCUUUUAUGUAUGAUUCAACAAGUAAUUAGUACAAGCAUACGAGUCAAAGUUUGUUUGUUCCUUCUGGUUCUUGGAGGAUUAGAAGCGAUAUCUGGGCCCCUCGAUGAUUUUGUUUUGACCUAUGUAUCGGGCCCGGUCAGA